GUAACUUUUAUCUCAAAGUUUUUCCUUUUUCUCUCUCUCUCAUCUUUCCCCAAAAACUCUGUUCUCUCUCUUUCUCUCUCUUUAUAUAUAAAGCUUAUGCAAUUAACUCUGUGGCAUUUCUGAAGCAUCUACGAGAUCUACUGUCCACACUGAAUACAUGGAUUCAAUGAGAUUUCCCACAAAUUAAGCCAAAAACGGAAAACCCAGGUCAUAGUGAGCAUUGGAGGAGGUGGCUGUUGUAUUGGGGUCUGUUCCAUCGGUGAAAGCAAAAUAUUCUUUUUCUUGAGCAGGGUAGUAUUGAACAGAUUGAAGUUUUGCUUUUCUGGGUUGAGCUCUCUUAUUUGUUUUGGGUCGUCAUUAAAUUAAUAGGGUAUCAAGAUCACUCUAGAGUGCUGUUAGAUUGGAUUUCAUUCUAAGAA
Molecule: unclassified non-coding RNA, 419 nt
Filed under: Hevea brasiliensis (rubber tree)
Lineage: Eukaryota; Viridiplantae; Streptophyta; Magnoliopsida; Malpighiales; Euphorbiaceae
Source: RNAcentral